RNAcentral lists this ribosomal RNA (1334 nucleotides) under uncultured bacterium. RNAcentral's name for it is "bacterial SSU rRNA". It matches the Rfam family "Bacterial small subunit ribosomal RNA", at positions 27 to 1381 of the family's 1533-position model. The record is from RNAcentral.
GGAUGAACGCUGGCGGCGUGCUUGAUACAUGCAAGUCGAACGGAGAGUGUAGCAAUAUACUUUUAGUGGCGAACGGGUGAGUAACGCGUUGGUGACCUGCCCCGAAGCGAGGGAUAACAGUUCGAAAGAACUGCUAAUACCUCAUGUGAUCACCGGUUUUAGAAUCUGGUGAUUAAAGGUGAAAAUCACUUCGGGAGGGGCCUGCGUCCCAUCAGCUAGUUGGUAAGGUAAUGGCUUACCAAGGCGAUGACGGGUAGGGGACCUGAGAGGGUGGCCCCCCACAAUGGAACUGAAACACGGUCCAUACACCUACGGGUGGCAGCAGUAGGGAAUAUUGCAAAUGGGCGAAAGCCUGAUGUAGCAACGCCGCGUGUGCGAUGAAGGUCUUCGGAUUGUAAAGCACUUUUUGGAGGGAUGAGGAAGGACAGUACCUCCAGAAUAAGCCUCGGCUAACUACGUGCCAGCAGCCGCGGUAACACGUAGGAGGCAAGCGUUAUUCGGAUUUACUGGGCGUAAAGCGCGUGCAGGCGGUUUGGAAAGUUGGAUGUGAAAGCUCCUGGCUCAACUGGGAGAGGUCGUUCAAAACUUCCAGACUUGAGAGUGGUAGAGGGAGGUGGAAUUCCGGGUGNNGUGGUGAAAUGCGUAGAUANNNNGAGGAACACCAGUGGCGAAAGCGGCCUCCUGGACCACUUCUGACGCUCAGACNNGAAAGCUAGGGUAGCAAACGGGAUUAGAGACCCCGGUAGNNCUAGCUGUAAACGAUGUGAACUUGGCGUUGGUGGGUUUAAAUCCAUCAGUGCCGAAGCUAACGCGAUAAGUUCACCGCCUGGGGACUACGGCCGCAAGGUUAAAACUCAAAGGAAUUGACGGGGGCCCGCACAAGCGGAGGAACAUGUGGUUUAAUUCGAUGAUACGCGAGGAACCUUACCCGGGCUCGAACGGUGCAUGAAUAAGCAAGAGAUUGUUUAGUCCUUCGGGACAUGUAUCGAGGUGCUGCAUGGUUGUCGUCAGCUCGUGCCGUGAGGUGUCGGCUUAAGUGCCAUAACGAGCGCAACCCUUGUUGUUAGUUACCAACAGGUAAAGCUGGGGACUCUAACGAGACUGCCACCGUAAGGUGUGAGGAAGGGGGGGAUGACGUCAAAUCAGCACGGCCCUUAUGUCCGGGGCGACACACGUGUUACAAUGGGGGGUACAGAGGGCAGCCAUCCGGUGACGGAGCGCCAAUCUCCAAAACCCUUCUCAGUUCGGAUUGGAGUCUGCAACCCGACUCCAUGAAGUUGGAUUCGCUAGUAAUCGCGCAUCAGCCAUGGCGCGGUGAAUACGUUCCCGGGCCU